UAUUUUAAAGAGAGUUUGAUCCUGGCUCAGGACGAACGCUGGCGGCGUGCCUAAUACAUGCAAGUCGAACGAACGGAGGAAGAGCUUGCUCUUCCAAAGUUAGUGGCGGACGGGUGAGUAACACGUGGGCAACCUGCCUGUAAGUUGGGGAUAACUCCGGGAAACCGGGGCUAAUACCGAAUGAUAAAGUGUGGCGCAUGCCACGCUUUUGAAAGAUGGUUUCGGCUAUCGCUUACAGAUGGGCCCGCGGUGCAUUAGCUAGUUGGUAGGGUAAUGGCCUACCAAGGCAACGAUGCAUAGCCGACCUGAGAGGGUGAUCGGCCACACUGGGACUGAGACACGGCCCAGACUCCUACGGGAGGCAGCAGUAGGGAAUCUUCCGCAAUGGACGAAAGUCUGACGGAGCAACGCCGCGUGUAUGAAGAAGGUUUUCGGAUCGUAAAGUACUGUUGUUAGAGAAGAACAAGGAUAAGAGUAACUGCUUGUCCCUUGACGGUAUCUAWCCAGAAAGCCACGGCUAACUA
Molecule: ribosomal RNA, 524 nt
Filed under: Listeria monocytogenes
Lineage: Bacteria; Bacillati; Bacillota; Bacilli; Caryophanales; Listeriaceae
Description: bacterial SSU rRNA
Rfam family: Bacterial small subunit ribosomal RNA
Source: RNAcentral